Long non-coding RNA from Mus musculus (house mouse), 1140 nucleotides. RefSeq annotates it as predicted gene 15155. NCBI's taxonomy places the organism in Eukaryota, Metazoa, Chordata, Mammalia, Rodentia, Muridae. The transcript is spliced from 5 exons. The record is from RefSeq and is a predicted model, not a curated record.
GGGAUCUGGUGCGGUGGAGCUGGUGCGGGCCCCCCUGCGGGUGUAGACUGGGAAAUGCUGGUCGGGGAGUCAGUACUUAACCCCCUUCUCUCACUCCACCUGCUCCUCCUCCACGCGCGACAGUGUGCGAGUACGGGGACCCUUAUAUCAGAACAAGAGAUGUACUGGUCUCUGAGUAUGUCGAGCCGCAGGGGGCGCGGGGGAGCCAGAGGGGCUCUGAAGGCUUGGCAAAGUUGGGCUUGUGCGUGUGUGCGCCAGCCAUAGCUAGCAGGCAGCCACUGUGGUUCCCCCUCGCACUUCCCCUCGGGAGAUUUCCCGAGAAGGCGGACGCUGGCUUCGGCCUGGGACAGACCUGCGGCGGCGGGAACGGCCACGCACAGAGAGUGACAGGUGGAACAGAUGCACUUGAUUUAAUAAAAAACUUCUCAAUGCAUGAGGAAUGUGGGACCAACAUAAAACAGUGUUUGUUCUGGGCCCCAUAUCAUUUGGGAUGAAUCGAAAAUAUGUCACAGGAAAUCUUAUUUCUCCUGGGAUAUAUGUUGAAGAAAGCUACUGGUUCAUUCACACAUGGGUACCUUCAACUCUAAGUGAUCCUAAGAUCGCGUGGAGAGUCUUCUGGGGACAAUAGGACUGUCUGCUGAGUUCGUGCCCAAGGUGACCUGGAGCUGGAGCUGACAGGAAAGGAAGUGUUUGGUUUUGAUUCCAGAUCUACUUGUGUUGUACAUUAUAAGGAAUACUCUGGUAUAUGAAUUGAUGAACUAAGUGGAAAAUGGAAGAAAUAAACCAACCAGCGUCCUCCCUAAAGAAUCAAAACCUUCUGACAUUCUAGAUGUGACUACAGAGAAGAGGAUGAGUGGUUUGCAAACAGUAAGUGAAUGUUUUCUUAUCUUUUCCUAUAUCCUGUUUAUUCAAGCCAAUAUGCUAGCUGCUCUUUUUUGUCUCCACAUUUACAUACUCAGGUUUGUCUACUUUUCUUCAUGUUUUAGGAAUACGAGACUUAUGGACACCAAUAAUCAGAAUUAGGAUUUUCUAUAGAGGAAUUUUAAUCCAGCAACAUGGCUGCUCUGGCAAGGGAUUACAUCCAAAGACCCUCUAAGUCUAUGUGAUCUGGUUGCAAUGUCAAAAAUAGGAUAUGCCCAA